Molecule: ribosomal RNA, 443 nt
Filed under: Arthrobacter sp.
Lineage: Bacteria; Bacillati; Actinomycetota; Actinomycetes; Micrococcales; Micrococcaceae
Description: bacterial SSU rRNA
Rfam family: Bacterial small subunit ribosomal RNA
Source: RNAcentral
GGGCUUAACUCCGGAUCUGCGGUGGGUACGGGCAGACUAGAGUGCAGUAGGGGAGACUGGAAUUCCUGGUGUAGCGGUGAAAUGCGCAGAUAUCAGGAGGAACACCGAUGGCGAAGGCAGGUCUCUGGGCUGUAACUGACGCUGAGGAGCGAAAGCAUGGGGAGCGAACAGGAUUAGAUACCCUGGUAGUCCAUGCCGUAAACGUUGGGCACUAGGUGUGGGGGACAUUCCACGUUUUCCGCGCCGUAGCUAACGCAUUAAGUGCCCCGCCUGGGGAGUACGGCCGCAAGGCUAAAACUCAAAGGAAUUGACGGGGGCCCGCACAAGCGGCGGAGCAUGCGGAUUAAUUCGAUGCAACGCGAAGAACCUUACCAAGGCUUGACAUGAACCGGAAUGGCGCAGAGAUGUGUCAGCCACUUGUGGCCGGUUUACAGGUGGUGCAU